CCUCCGAAGUUUCCCUUAGGAUAGUUGGAGCCCACCGACGAGUUCUAUCGGGUAAAGCCAAUGAUUAGAGGCAUCAGGGGCGCAAUGCUCUCGACCUUUUCUCAAACUUUAAAUAUGUAGGACGACGCGACUGCUCCGUUGAGCCGCGCCACAGAAUCGAAAGCUCCAAGUGGACUAAUUUUGGUAAGCAGAACUGGCGAUGAGGAAUGAACCAGAACCUAGGUUACGGUGUCCAUCUGCGCGCUAACCUAGAAUCCACAAAGGGUGUUGGUCGAUUAAGACAACAAAACGAUGGUAAUGGAAGUCGAAAUCCGCUAAGGAGGGUAUAACAACUCACCUGCCGAAUCAAUUAGCCCCGAAAAUAGAUGGCGCUGAAACGCGCGACCCCCACCUAACCGUCAGGGCAAUCGUUAUAUUAUCUAAUUAAUUAUUGAUCCUCUAACAUUUACAAGUUGUAGG
Molecule: non-coding RNA, 459 nt
Filed under: Macleaya cordata
Lineage: Eukaryota; Viridiplantae; Streptophyta; Magnoliopsida; Ranunculales; Papaveraceae
Description: Eukaryotic large subunit ribosomal RNA
Rfam family: Eukaryotic large subunit ribosomal RNA
Source: Rfam by way of RNAcentral